AUGAUUUAGCAAUCAUGAUACUUUGACUCCAAUUAAGAAAAACCAUAAUCUAGAAACACCAUAUGAAGGGAUGCAAUUUAACAGUUAUGAAGAAGCCAAGGAGUAUUAUACUGAAUAUGGACGACGCAAUGGUUUUACAAUUCGUGUUCGAUCAACAAAUAGAACUCGGAAAGGCUUUGGAGAAGUGACAGCAGCUUACAUGGUAUGUUCUCGGGAGGGAAACAAAGUAAAAGUUGACAAUAUAGAAGGAGUAGAUAAAAAAACAGAAGUUGCAGUACUAUACAAUGUGGAUGCACAACAAAGAUGCAAAUCCUUCUUAAUGAAGACAAUAAUAUGUGGAAGGUGAUGGCAUUUUCAGAUGAACACAAUCACAAAUUUGUGUCACCACUAAAAAGAAUGCAUAUGCGGUCAAAUAAAUGCAUGCCAGAAGAUGUAAAGGAUAUGACAGAAAAAUUCCAUAGAGAGAACCUUGAAGUUGGAAAAGUUCCUGUAAUCCUUGAGGGUCAAAAUAUUGGAUUUAAUAAAAGGGAUUGUUGGAAUCAUCUACGCAAUGUUAGGCACAAAAAUUUAGAACUUGGUGAUGCCCAAUCUGUCGUUGAUUAUUUACACAGGAAACAAUGUGAGAAUCCUCAAUUAUUUUAUAGAGUUCAAGUCGACGAACAUGGUAGAGCGGGAAAUUUUUUCUGGGUGGAUGCGCGAUCACAUUUAUCAUACGAACAAUUUGGUGAGGUAGUUUUCUUCGACACUACAUACAGAACGAAUAAAUAUGAAAUGCCAUUCCCACCAUUUACGGGGGUAAAUCAUCAUUAUCAAACUAUCCAAUUUGGGUGUGCUCUUUUACAAGAUGAGACUGAAGUUACAUUUUCAUGGUUGUUUAGCAUAUGGCUUGAAGCUAUGGAGGAGAAACAUCCAUCAGCAAUCAUAACUGACCAAGAUGCUGCCUGGCCGGUGCUAUAAAGAAAGUUUUCCCAAAUGCGCGACAUCGUUUAUGCCUUUGGCACAUUAAGAAAAAAUUCCCUGAAAAAUUAUCACAAAUUUAUUUUAAGAAGUCAAAGUUCAAAGGAGAUAUGAAAGAAUGUAUUCAUCAUACUUACAAGAUACAAGAGUUUGAAGAAAGGUGGAAAAAGAUGAUUAUAGAGUUUGAUUUGGGCGACAAUGAAUGGUUAACUGAUCUAUAUGAGAUUCGAGAAUCUUGGGUACCUGUCUACCAUAGAAAUACAUUUUAUGCGGGUAUUAAUAUAAUGGGUCGCAGUGAAGGGGUAAAUGCCUUUUUCAAAUCAUUUGUCUCAUCAAAAACCAAUCUCAGAGAAUUUGCGAUUCGGUAUGAUCAAGCAGUGAAAGAAAUUGUUGAUAAAGAAGAUAGUGAGGAUCUCAUAUCAGAGCAUAAAAUCCCGAAUAUUGAUAGCAGAAAUUUGAUACUUAAGCACGGUGCUACAAUAUACACUCGCAACAUUUAUAACAAGUUUCAUGAGCAACUAUUAGACGCACAACGUUUCAAGUCCGAUGAGAUAGAAAGAGGGGAUGAAUUUAAUACUUACUUAGUAACAUCUAAGAUUGGUCACCCGCAACAGUUCACUGUAAAGAUAAAGCCAGGUACGUAUGAGGGGUAUUGUGAAUGUCAAUAUUUUGAAUUUAAAGGUUUACCUUGCAAACAUGUGCUUAAAGUUCUUAUGAAGCUAGAGGUAGAUGAAAUACCACCACAUUUUAUUCCGAAGAGAUGGUUGAAAGGUGCCAAUUCAUUUAGGAUUAUGGAUGAAACAUUACUCUCUGAUAAUUAUGAGAACUCAUAUUCAUUUUGACUUAGUCAUCUUUGUCGAAGAUCAACUCAGCUGUCAUGUUUUGCUAUAAAGUCUGAUAUACUAUAUAAAAUGGCAAUUGAAGGCAUUGAAAAAGUCUUUGCGCAUAUCAGGGAUGAACAUAAUAAGACAGUUGAAGCUGAUAGAACGGCUCCAAUUUCAAGUUCUAAAAUUCAAGAAGAUACUGAAGUUGAGAAAUUAAGUCAUCCUCCAUUUAUUGCUGAUCCACAUAUAUCGCAGGUGAAAAGUAGACCUUCUGAAAAAUCGAAAGGAAAAAUAAAUAGUUCCGAUAGAAUGUUAAGUUUUGUUGAAGCAUCAGUACCCAAGCCGAGAAAGUGCUCUUUAUGUGAGGAAUCCGGGCAUGACAAAAGAAAAUGCCCACAAAAACCAGAUAAAGAACAAUUGAAAAUUAUUGAACCAUGUUCGACCAAUGAGAAAACCACUUCACUUUGAAAUGACAUCACAGGUUUCCAAGAGAGUUCAUAUGGGUAUUUAUACAGAUUUUAAGUUUGAGAUCCACAAGUUUGAUAUCCUAAUCCGUAGAAAGACGACGAGAAAGAUGAUGAGCAGUCAGAACUACAUUGUCUAUGUUUUGCAGAAGCCUUCUAAUUUAUGAUUCAAGUGAAUUUUAUGAGCUGUUGAUUCACGUUUUUUUAUGUUUUAUGAGUUUGGAUUCAAUGACGAAUAAAUGAAUAUUUUUUUUAAC
This is a long non-coding RNA of Papaver somniferum (opium poppy), 2502 nucleotides long. RefSeq lists it as uncharacterized. The record is from RefSeq and is a predicted model, not a curated record. Lineage: Eukaryota; Viridiplantae; Streptophyta; Magnoliopsida; Ranunculales; Papaveraceae. The transcript has 3 exons.